RNAcentral lists this unclassified non-coding RNA (300 nucleotides) under uncultured fungus. Its description in RNAcentral is "sequence contains ITS2". The record is from RNAcentral. Lineage: Eukaryota; Fungi.
AACGCAUAUUGCGCUCUCUGGUAUUCCGGGGAGCAUGCCUGUUUCAGCAUCAUUUGAAUAUCUCAAAAUCAUUUUUGGAUGGUUUUGGAGAGCUAGGCUUUAUGUUGUGGACAUUUUUUCAUAACUGGCCUGAAAUUGAUGCCAAUUUAAUGCAAGAAUCUAAUGUAGAUGUGUAAGGUUCUAAAGAUGAAAAGCUUAUUAGUUGACCUUGGUCAAACUUGCUGAUUAGUCUUCAAAAACUAAGCAAAGCUACAUUUAUAAAUUGAUCUGAAAUCAGGUAGGAUUACCCGCUGAACUUAA